This 115-nucleotide ribosomal RNA is filed under the name Gammaproteobacteria bacterium. Lineage: Bacteria; Pseudomonadati; Pseudomonadota; Gammaproteobacteria. The record is from RNAcentral.
CCUGACGGCCAUAGCGAGUCUGAACCACCUGAAUCCAUCUCGAACUCAGAAGUGAAAGGGCUCUGCGCCGAUGGUAGUGUGGGGGCUCCCAUGCGAGAGUAGGUCAUCGUCAGGC